GAGGGGUCUUUCAAGGGCCCUGCAAGCCUGUGACCUGCAUAUACCUUCUAAGGCUUUGGUCUUGAAAACCGUUGGAGCGGGUAACCCCGUUCUCGUGGGUUCGAAUCCCACGCCCUCCG
RNAcentral lists this transfer RNA (119 nucleotides) under Cellulomonas sp. RNAcentral's name for it is "tRNA-Ser". Lineage: Bacteria; Bacillati; Actinomycetota; Actinomycetes; Micrococcales; Cellulomonadaceae. The record is from RNAcentral.